GUUUGCUUUGGCAGUGCAUACAUUAAAAUUGGAAUGAUACAGAAAUCAGCAUGGCCCCUACACACAAAUUCAGAAAGUGUUCCAUAUGUUU
Molecule: non-coding RNA, 91 nt
Organism: Mesocricetus auratus (golden hamster)
Lineage: Eukaryota; Metazoa; Chordata; Mammalia; Rodentia; Cricetidae
Source: Rfam